Molecule: ribosomal RNA, 497 nt
Filed under: uncultured bacterium
Lineage: Bacteria
Description: bacterial SSU rRNA
Rfam family: Bacterial small subunit ribosomal RNA
Source: RNAcentral
GAUGAACGCUGGCGGCGUGCCUAACACAUGCAAGUCGAACGGACAAAGAUGAAACCUAGUGAUUCUUUGUUAGUGGCGGACGGGUGAGUAACGCGUGGGUAACCUGCCUCGCACUGGGGGAUAACAGUUAGAAAUGACUGCUAAUACCGCAUAAGCGCACAGUACCGCAUGGUACAGUGUGAAAAAACUCCGGUGGUGUGAGAUGGACCCGCGUCUGAUUAGCUGGUUGGUGGGGUAACGGCCUACCAAGGCAACGAUCAGUAGCCGGCCUGAGAGGGUGACCGGCCACAUUGGGACUGAGACACGGCCCAAACUCCUACGGGAGGCAGCAGUGGGGAAUAUUGGGGCAAUGGGGGGAAACCCUGACCCAGCAACGCCGCGUGGAGGAAGAAGGUUUUCGGAUCGGUAAACUCCUGUCCCUCAGGGAAGAGCAGAAGACGGUACCUGAGGAGGAACGCCCCGGCUAACACGUGCCAGCAGCGCGUAAGUACUCAGUG